UACAGAGGAGCCAAGCGUUGUCCGGAUGGACUGGGCGUAAAGCGCACGCAGGCGGACGCGCGCGUGGGGUGUGAAAUCUGGCCGCUUAACGGCCAGGCGCCAUCCCAUACGGCGCGUCUGGAGUGAUGCAGAGGUCGAUGGAAUUGCCGGUGUAGUGGUGAAAUGCGUAGAGAUCGGCAGGAACACCCAGGGGGAAACCAGCCGCCUGGGCAAGCGCUGACGCUGAGGUGCGAGAGCGUGGGGAGCGAACCGG
Molecule: ribosomal RNA, 253 nt
Filed under: uncultured bacterium
Lineage: Bacteria
Description: partial 16S ribosomal RNA
Rfam family: Bacterial small subunit ribosomal RNA
Source: RNAcentral